CUAAUACCGCAUACGAUCUACGGAUGAAAGCGGGGGAUCGCAAGACCUCGUGCUCAUAGAGCGGCCGAUAUCUGAUUAGCUAGUUGGUGAGGUAAAGGCUCACCAAGGCUUCGAUCAGUAGCUGGUCUGAGAGGACGACCAGCCACACUGGGACUGAGACACGGCCCAGACUCCUACGGGAGGCAGCAGUGGGGAAUUUUGGACAAUGGGGGCAACCCUGAUCCAGCAAUGCCGCGUGAGUGAAGAAGGCCUUCGGGUUGUAAAGCUCUUUUGUCAGGGAAGAAACGGGAUGUCCUAAUACGAUGUCCUAAUGACGGUACCUGAAGAAUAAGCACCGGCUAACUACGUGCCAGCAGCCGCGGUAAUACGUAGGGUGCAAGCGUUAAUCGGAAUUACUGGGCGUAAAGCGUGCGCAGGCGGUUAUGUAAGACAGGUGUGAAAUCCCCGGGCUUAACCUGGGAAUGGCAUUUGUGACUGCAUAGCUAGAGUGUGUCAGAGGGGGGUAGAAUUCCACGUGUAGCAGUGAAAUGCGUAGAGAUGUGGAGGAAUACCGAUGGCGAAGGCAGCCCCCUGGGAUAACACUGACGCUCAUGC
RNAcentral lists this ribosomal RNA (594 nucleotides) under Collimonas sp. RNAcentral describes it as "bacterial SSU rRNA". It matches the Rfam family "Bacterial small subunit ribosomal RNA", at positions 163 to 752 of the family's 1533-position model. The record is from RNAcentral. Lineage: Bacteria; Pseudomonadati; Pseudomonadota; Betaproteobacteria; Burkholderiales; Oxalobacteraceae.